UACGUAGGGUGCAAGCGUUGUCCGGAAUUAUUGGGCGUAAAGAGCUCGUAGGCGGUUCGUCGCGUCGGCUGUGAAAUCCCGAGGCUCAACCUCGGGUCUGCAGUCGAUACGGGCGGACUGGAGUUCGGCAGGGGAGACUGGAAUUCCUGGUGUAGCGGUGAAAUGCGUAGAGAUUGGAAAGAACACCGAUGGCGAAGGCACUUUACUGGGCUAUUACUAACACUGAGAGACGAAAGCUAGGGUAGCAAAUGGG
RNAcentral lists this ribosomal RNA (253 nucleotides) under uncultured bacterium. RNAcentral describes it as "partial 16S ribosomal RNA". It matches the Rfam family "Bacterial small subunit ribosomal RNA", at positions 524 to 776 of the family's 1533-position model. The record is from RNAcentral.